Molecule: ribosomal RNA, 23 nt
Filed under: Payena lucida
Lineage: Eukaryota; Viridiplantae; Streptophyta; Magnoliopsida; Ericales; Sapotaceae
Description: partial 26S ribosomal RNA
Source: RNAcentral
CUCGGUUGCGACCCCAGGUCAGG